Molecule: long non-coding RNA, 1274 nt
Filed under: Phasianus colchicus (ring-necked pheasant)
Lineage: Eukaryota; Metazoa; Chordata; Aves; Galliformes; Phasianidae
Description: lncRNA (ENSPCLG00000021930.1)
Source: RNAcentral
GUGGGCUAAUUAUUUUCUCUUAAAAUGUUUUUUUUUAGAUCUCCUUUAGAUUACCUGAAUUGUCUGCUGAUGUAGCUUGAAAUAAUCCAUAGGUUUUAAGCUCCUCUUUGGAUCCAGGAUUUAUCUUAAUUCUGUUACUUAGAAGGUUUUACUUUAGUGGAGGUGUGUUACUGUGCUUGAACAAAUGGGCUGAGAAACUGUCUGUGAAAGAGAAAGCAACCGAAGGCAGUGUUAGCUGUAUUUUAUGCUAUUAAAAUUCAUAUUAUAUUGCAAGAAACAUGAGAAUCAAACAGAUUUUUACAACAGUAAUAAUAGCAAUGCUGUUUUGAAAUUUUCAUUGUAAAGAAUCAUUUCAAAAUGACUACCUGAGGCUUAAUUUUCUUUCCAAUAAUGCAGAUGUUUCUGAAUUGCAGUUUGCCAAGUGUGGGAGAUGGGAAAUCCUGUCCUAAAAAGAUACUGUUAGAUGGUCUUUUAGGUUUGAUCCAAGUCAUAGAGUAGCAGAUAAACUGUCUUUAAACAGUGAUUUACAGCAAAAGUUUCACAAAAACUGGCAGGAUGUUGCAAUAGGGAAGUUGUGGCUAAGCCAUUUCCAGUUUUUUGUGCAGUUUUCUCAAGCAGUCACAUUCCUUCCCAAAAGUUUGCUUUCACUCAUGAAUGCAUUGGAUACCACUGAGAGAAGAUUUGGUAGCUCCACCAUUUUUGUGUGUAUGUUGUCAGGCAAGGUGCUGUGGAUUGAGCUUUUACUGAAAAGAGGCUGAAAACGAGACUUCUGGGAGAGCAAAGAACAGAGCUUUGAUUUUCUUGCCUGCUUAAUCCCAAUUCAUUCGUCUCUUCUGGAUCCUGAAUUCCGGGAAGGUAGGAGAAAAUUGCUGUGUAUCAGCCUUGCAGAGAAAGCGGUUAAGGUAGCUAGAAAAAUUGGAUUAUUACUACCAGUGCACAAUUCUCUUGUUCUUUCAAUUUCACUCCAAGAACUAACGGUUCCUUAAAAUCUGGCUGGCUACCAAGGCCACAAUCAAACAUCUGUGCACCAGAUGCAUGGAACAUUGUGUCCAGCUGUGUUACUGCAGCUGCAUCUGCAGAACACUACAUAUGUCGAUUGCUCUGACCAGCAGGCGCUGGGAAUACUAUCGAUAGGAAUGACACUACAGAAUAUAUAUAAACACUGCUGAAUAUAUAUAUAAACCAUUUUUCCUACAGAUAUGUUUGAAUGUCUAAACUUAGCUGGUGUGUAUUCCCUUUAAAAUGUCUCUUGUAUUUCCAAGGGUAGAGCAACC